Molecule: long non-coding RNA, 748 nt
Filed under: Ananas comosus (pineapple)
Lineage: Eukaryota; Viridiplantae; Streptophyta; Magnoliopsida; Poales; Bromeliaceae
Description: long non-coding RNA (ACOM_LNC026570)
Source: RNAcentral
UCCUUUGAGUUAAGGAUUUGAUCAUAUUUGCUAUGAGUUCCGUGCUCGAGGGCGGUCGCUCCCCCUCGGGCGAUGCGCUCCGGAGUUUUUGCAUCACGGGUUGGAGUAAACCCGAAGGACGGUCCUAGCGGGUGAGUUCCUCCGAUGAUGGACUUAAUGUGAAGCAAGUUAAUGUGGCGAAACCCCCGGGUUAGCCUUGAGAUUAAAGAACAAAGAACAAAGAACGAGAACAAAGCGUAAAGUGUAAAGAACAAAAGAAUUUGCAUAAUCUGCAUAUAUUAAUGUUGAGCAUAUUUUCUGCUUAUUGUUCAGGCAUAUUAGCAUCAUAUUAUAGAUUGGUUACUAUAAACAGUUUAUCUUUUCUAUUAUGCCUGAGUUAGUCCUAGUGGGAAAGUCGGUGAAGUUGAGGCCAAACCCACUAGAAACUUUGUUGUAGUUCUCACCCCACUAUUUCCACAGAGCCGGGAUCGAGCGAGCCGGCGAGCGACCGAGGUAAAGGUAUCGCGCCUUAGACAGAGGCCACCAGAGUUGAGUUGGGUUUACAUUUUGUUAGUAGAGUACCCUAUAUUCACCUUUUGUAUUUGAUGACUAGUAAUGUAAAGAAAAGAAUGUAAAGCUCAUUUUGAGGUAAAUGUGAUGUAAAAAGAAAUGAUGCAAGCAAUGUAAUGUAAUGAAAUGUAAAGAAUCAAGAAUGAAAAGGGAUACAUGUAUGUGAUCAAAAUGAAUCAUAGUACUUGUGUAGUUGCGU